Molecule: ribosomal RNA, 454 nt
Filed under: uncultured bacterium
Lineage: Bacteria
Description: bacterial SSU rRNA
Rfam family: Bacterial small subunit ribosomal RNA
Source: RNAcentral
ACCGUACUCCUACGGGAGGCAGCAGUGGGGAAUCUUGGACAAUGGGCGCAAGCCUGAUCCAGCCAUGCCGCGUGGAUGAUGAAGGCCCUAGGGUUGUAAAAUCCUUUCGUUGGGGACGAUAAUGACGGUACCCAAAGAAGAAGCUCCGGCUAACUUCGUGCCAGCAGCCGCGGUAAUACGAAGGGGGCUAGCGUUGUUCGGAUUUACUGGGCGUAAAGCGCGUGUAGGCGGACUUGUAAGUUGGGGGUGAAAUCCCGAGGCUCAACCUCGGAACUGCCUCCAAAACUACAAGUCUGGACUCAAGUAGAGGCAAGUGGAAUUGCGAGUGUAGAGGUGAAAUUCGUAGAUAUUCGCAGGAACACCAGUGGCGAAGGCGACUUGCUGGACUUGUAGUGACGCUGAGACGCGAAAGCGUGGGGAGCAAACAGGAUUAGAAACCCUGGUAGUCCUUGAC